Molecule: non-coding RNA, 6480 nt
Organism: Heterocephalus glaber (naked mole-rat)
Lineage: Eukaryota; Metazoa; Chordata; Mammalia; Rodentia; Bathyergidae
Source: RefSeq, a predicted model, not a curated record
AAUACAUUGUUACUGUUAGAGCAAAAAAAAAAUUUUUUUUUUAACAAAAAAUAGAAGGCACAGUAGGGAACAAAGGAAUCAGAGUCUGGCCAUUGAGAGCUUAAGGGUGGCCAACACACAGAUGAAACAUACUUAAGCCACUGAGAUUUCUUUGGAUCUACCAAAAAAACCCACAAACCAUAAAACUAUAAUGGCUUUGGCUCCCAAACUAGAAUUUCUGUGCUCUAAAAGCUGAUCAUCCAGGAAACUCUAUAAACCACAUUGUCUGAUCAAUCACAAAACCUGUUCCUCACCCAUGGUUAAAAAGGAGCUAAACGUUUUUCUGUAAACUGAUUUUGUGUUAGUGGCUAUCCCAGUAAAACUAUCACAUGAGAUUCACAUAUAUACAACUUUUACAACAAUCUGUUUCCAUAAACACUGUUAUGACAGUAUCAACAAUUUACAGGGCAUUAAUCUGGUACUACAACUUUUUUUUUGCAGUGCUGGCAAUUGAAUCCAAGGCAUCACACAUGCCAGGCAAGUGCUCUCCCAUCCAACAAUAAUUCCCAGCUCCUAGUAUUGUGAUGUUUAAAUGCCCCACUGUAACGUAUCAAAAUCACAAAAGUUGAGGUCACCCAUGGGAAAACUAUCUCUAUGUCAUCUCACACUGAAAAGAGUUAGAAAAUUAAGAAGCUAGUGAGAGUGGAGUUUGGACCCAAAGUGUAGAAUCAGUAGGUAACUUGGCAAUAUCUACAUAUAAAAAUAUCCAUAACCUUUGAUGAGAAAUGCCAUAUCUAGGAAGGAGGGACAUAUGUAACAACAUGCUAAAUAUUAAAACAGCAAUUAAUAACUCGACUUUGCUGAAGGGGUAUACAUGAGGUAUCCAAAACAACAUCUCUCCCUCCUCUUUUCCCAUCUACAUUCAGACCUGGACCUGGACAUGCUCAACCGUCGCAAAGGCUUAAGAGUCCUCAUGCUGGCUGAUUGGGUCUCAAUUUGGCCUUAGUUCACUGAGCUUGGCCAUGGGGACUCUACACAGCCAGGUGAAUGGCAUUUCACAAAAAUAAAGUUCCAAGAAUUGUGGUAUCCAAAUCACUGUGACUCCCCUCAUGUAGCUCAGCAGAUCCCACCUAGAAUGAGCCAAAGCAAGAGGCUUGGACAGUCAGCUCUUAAUGUAUGGAAAUGAUGAGGGACGAAAAAGUACUAUGGCAACUGCUCAGUAAAGCACAUUUCACUUUUCUUACACCAAAAAUGAUUUGGAUAUUUAAAACUGAUAUAACUGGGCUGGGCAUUUAGCUCAGUGGUUCUGCUGCCUGCCUUGCAACUGCAAGGUCCCGAGUUUUGAUCGCCAGUACCCCCCUCAAAAAAGUAAAUUAAAAACAUAAAAUUGAUAUAACUGAUUAACUCAAUGAUUCUGUGCUUUAAGAACUGCACUGCACUGCUGUCAUUUCAACCAGGAAAGAUACAAAAAUAGCAGAGUUCCCAUAUAUUCCCCAUUCCGUUGCCUGUAAUGUUAACAUCUUACAUUACUAUGGGACAUUUGUCAUAACUGAAGAACCAAUGCUGGCACAUUACUUUAAACUAAACUGCAUAAUUUAUUCAUAUUUCACUACUUUUUCUCUAGUGUCCUUUUCUAUUCCAGCAUGCCUUCCAAGAUCAUGUUAGUCAUCCCGUCUCCUUAAGCAUCCUCUCAGACUUCCCUUGUUUAUAAUGACCUUGACAGCUUUGAAGAAUGCUAAUCGGGCAUCUAUUUCAUACAGUGUUCCUCCUGGAGGACAUAAUCAUUUCACCCAUGCAUUAAACUAAGGUUACAGGUUUGGGGGAGGAUGACUAGUGUUAUGUCCCGCAAAGAACCAUGUAUGAUGGGCAACCUUUCAGAGCUUUCAAUGAUAACAAACAGCCUGCUGCUCCAUGUGUGCCUUAGGUUUGCAACCACUGUGCCAGAGGCUUGGUUGUCAGCCUAUGGCACAACUGGGAGGUGGUGGAACCUUUAGGAAGUGGGGGAAGGUUGGGUCAGUGGGGGACAUGCCCUGAAAGGGUUAUUGAGACCGCCUGCUCCUCUUCUCUUUGCUUUCCAUCCACAAUGUGAGGUGAGCAGCCUUCUUGCCUUCUCCACCAUGUACUCUUGUCAUGACAGAAUCUACUGCCACAGGCCCAAAAUGACAGGAUCAGGUGACCAUAGACUGAAACUGUGAGCCAAAAUAAACCUUUCUUCCUUACAAGUUGACUGAUCUCAGGUCUCUGUCAUGGUGAAAGGAAAUUGAGUAACACUCAUCACUUGACAUGACAUAACGUUAAAGGUAUCUGCUAUCAACUCCCCAUCACCAACGAUGUUAGCUUUGAUAGGUAGGUGGUGUUUGCCAGGUUUUUCUAUUACAAACUUACUUUCCCAUUCUUUUCCGUACUCCAUACUUAGUUAUUAAGUGUAGCCACUCAGAGGUGGGUAGUCAUGUUCAACCCUGAAUUCAAGAAUAGCCACAUAAAUUUUGUGGAAUUCUUCUCUCUGGGAAGCUUAUCUUUUCUCUCAUUUUUCCAAUUAUUUACAUCAAAAUGGGCCCACAAAUACUGAUACUUUGCGCAAUAAUGCAAUAAGUAUUUACUUCAUUGCGCCAAUUGUCCCAGCUUGGCUAACGAGAGUAAUUUCAGGAUGGUUCCCUUGUCCCUCUGACAUACCCCACCAUUUUGUGUUUUGAACAUUUUUUUUCUGCUUUUUCAUAUUUUUACCACCAAAAUGUCUCACUUUAAAGGGGAAGAGGGGCAGAAUAAGUGUUGAAUUAUGUCCCCCUAAGAUUUAUGUAUGUGAAGGUCCUAUCUGCCAGUACCUCACCACUGACUUAUUUGAGAACUGAGUCACUGGAGAAGUUAAUAUGAGGUCAUGCUAGAAUAAGGUAGGUCUCUCAUCCAGUAUGACCCAUGUCCUUCUGGAAAGACAAGUUCAGAGACAGCACAGAGAGCAAACAUCAUGUGACGGUACAGGCAGAGAUGAGGGCGAUGCUUCUACAAGUCAAGAGCACCAAAGAUUGUCAGCAAGCCACCAGAAGCCAAGGGAGAGGCAGGACCAGAUUCUCCCCCGCGGUGUCAGAAGAAACCAGUGCUACGACUCUUCAUCUGCAACUUCUUGCCUCCAGAACCAGAGGGUAAUACAUUUCUGUUGUUUGAGUCAUUCGUUUAUAGUACUCUGUUACAGCAGCACAAGGAAAUUAACGCAAGGGCUAAUGUGACUGAGCAAUUUGCAUUUCAGUCACAAACAAUUCACAAACUUGGUAUAUUAAAAAAGGCAGGGGUAGGGGAACAGGCUAACAUAUGAAAGGGCAUAGUGAAAAACAGAGGCUCAAGUCAACCCACUACAGUAUGCAGCACUAUACUGAACAUGAACAUGGUGAGUAGUGUUUUCAGAUGCCUUGUUUUCCCUGCAGUUCACAGCCACCUGCAGCUCAGAUCAGUGCCACUCGCCAAGCACACCUGCAAGUAAUAGCAAUAUCUGCCCAUCUAGUAUCAUCACCACCUUCUUUACCACGCUAAGCACCAGUUCCGUGGAAGCCAAGCAUUUCCCUCCCAGGUGCCCUUCAUAGCAACCCUACAAAGGCUGACAGGUGAUCCCUGCAUCACAAUGGACUGGUCAGAUUCUGUCAGUAAGCGUUUUUUGGUCCCCCAUCUAAUGACUUGCUUUGUUCCACUUUCAUCUUUCCAGAGUCAAUCAACAAGUGGGCCAACAGCUUAGAAUUGAGCUGAACAUCGUAUCAUCGCAACAAACAGCCUUGUGAUGCAACUGCACCUGUCUCGGCUACGCGUUACUAUGGAGAUGCUCUGGUUGCUAUGGCUACCAUCACGCUAAUCGCCUAGCAAAGGCAGACAUACAGCAGUCUACUCAGAGCCCAGCUGUUCCUCCCUGUCUCUUGCUGAAGACUGAUUGUUAGGGCCUGUGAAGGAAUGCUUCUCAACUGAGAAACACAAGAACUUCAUUAAUGCCAUUUCAGAGAAUCACUCUGUGCUCUUUCCUGCAGCACAAACAUCAGGCUCGGGAAAAAAAUCUGCAAGAAGUGGACUAGAGGGCUCCUGAAAUCUCUGACACCAUGCCAUUCCCAAUUAACAUGAACUUGUGGCCCAAGGAUACUGUGUCUUAACUGUGUAGUUACAACAGAAAUAUUUCUAAGCAUCUUUUUAAAAAAUUUUGUUGUGGCAGGGAUGUACCUCAAACCCAAGCACAAUGUAUAGACCAAAUCCACUUUUAAAUUUGGUUCUGUGUUCUACACCUCUUUCUUGGAAUCUAACAUUAAUACUGCUUUUCUAAACAGUGACAAGCUGCUUAACCCUCCAAUUACAUAUUUGUAGAAAUGGCACUCAUGACCUCACCAUCUCACGACAAAUGGGCAUGUGAAGAGGGAAAAAGUCUCCACUGUUCUCUGCUGCUCUGGAAGAGGCAAACACCAAGUAACCACAACAAAACUAUCACUCAGGAGCACCAUCUACAUGGAGACCGGGAGUGACAACAACUCAGUAAGCCUUCUCUCAACAUCUGUGGAGGCCGGCCAGGAUACAGCAAGACGAAAUCACUUGGUUGACCCACUCCAGCAUGUUCAUCCCGACAAAACCUACCACAGAGAGAUAUGAAAGAUGUCGACUUGUCUUUGUAAAUGUUUCUACCCAGAAAGACAUUAUUUUACCCACGAUGGAGCCUUCUGGAAACACAUUCCUUCAAAGCAGCAGAAGCGAACAACAUUUAUGCUUGGAAUGGAAUUCUGUAAUUAUCUUCCCCGAGAAACAAAAGCUCUCAGGCAACAAUGAGAAACCUAAGCCAGGACCCAAUAUUUGUUUUUUGGAUUCCUCAGUUCACAGCAACAUGCUCCAGCCCGUAACAAAUGAAUCUUUAGAAGUCAAACUUUAAAAUGCAACUUUUCUAGAACUGUUCCACUGAGCGAGGAAAGCUCCCUCAGAGGCCCACCUUGGGGCUGGGUGGAGGCAUCUAGCCUGAUCAGCAUAUUCAAAAGAACCUAGGUCCUCUGGGCCCCACUGGAACUGGCAAGAGGCUGAGGAGCAGUCACUCUCUGGCUGCAUGCUUUCAAGUGACCGAAUGGACCCAAACUGUUUGAUAAAGUCAUUUGUAAAUAUUAACUGAUUUGUAAAGAAAAGAAGUUAAAUUACCUAAACCCAUGCCUACUCCAUGGUUUCGGCCACAGACUCCCUUAUUUUCACAGCUACUGUACAACAGAAAGCCUGAUGUUGUCUUCCAACGUUCAGAAAGCAAACAAGAAAACCAUUUCACUCACAUGGGCUGGAGGGUGGGGAGGGGGAUGUCCAAGCAGAUACCACAAAAGGAGCAUUAAACAUCAAUUAUUCCUAAAAUCUUUUUUAAAAGUUUCAAUUUUUUAUAUUUCAGCCAUCAGUUCAAGUACUUUUCUUGCAAACUUUAUUAAUUUACAGUGCCCAUUAAAAUACUAUCAAUAACAUCAGUGUGCAGCAGCACAGGUGGAAUUAACUGUUUGGGGUGCGCUGGGCAUAGAAGAAUUGCACAAAGCCUCCGUCAGGUUGGCACAAGGGACCAUCCCAGUCACCCAGCCCCAGGCAAGGGCCGGACACGACACGGGUCUGGAUCAGGUGGACCUGUCUAUGCUGAACACCAAUGCUCCAAGUUUAACCAUCUGACUGGUUAAAGACCUGAAAGCCCGCCCGCUUUAGAAAAUGGAAUGCUCCUAUGCGGCCUUUCCUUUAUGUAUAUAUUUUUAAGUCCAGAAUGGUUCACAGGAUCUGAUGAGACCUCCCAAGUAAAACAGGCAAUCAAUGCCCUGGUUCUUCCUUCUUUUCUUGCAGAAAAAGCUUUGCAGCACACUUUCUAAAGCAAGUCAAAAGGUAAGGAGUGAAGAAAUGGGGGAGGAUGGGAAGAUCAAGAAUUACCAAAUUGGGCUAAGGUAAAACAAACCACCAAAGCUAUCAGCUCCUGUACCAUCAGCAGGAGGCUGGCCUGACUCCAUCAUCAAAGGCUCCCGUGGAGCCCUAAGCCAAGGACCAGGCCUUUUUGUCACAGGCACACAAGCAUGGUCCGCUCCAGGGAGGGCCACAGCUGCCGUGCAAACCUUUCUACAGUGAGAUUAUCUCAGUUCUAAGGCUUUUGUUUUCAUCAAGGUGACUUUCAGAGUGUCUUAUACCAAAAAGACCUAAGACAAAGCAAUUAAAAGCAACUGGGCCUCGUGGGUAACUAACUAGACUGUGGUUUCUCCUAAUCCUGACCCAAGUAUCUCAUUUACUAUAGUACGCCACUCUUCAGCAACUGCACAGAAUAAACCCGCAGAGCCCACAUGGAGUAACUAAACAAUAAUGGGCUAUUUGGGGCCACACAGCCAUGUCUUGGCUACAGCUCAUGGUGCGCAAAGUCCUGGCUCCCUCGCUGGGAAAAAAGUCAAGUAUGAGGCCCAGAGAUGUAAGAGUCAAGUACGAGGCCUUACCUUUGGGUACUCAAUGAAAGACAGGUGGCGUCAUAAAGAUCUCCUCUUUGACAGAAAAAAA